UACGUAGGCAGCAAGCGUUGUUCGGAGUUACUGGGCGUAAAGGGUGCGUAGGCGGCUUUGUAAGUCAGUGGUGAAAUACUCCAGCUUAACUGGAGGGGUGCCAUUGAUACUGCGGAGCUUGAGUACAGAUGAGGUAGGCGGAAUUGACGGUGUAGCGGUGAAAUGCAUAGAUAUCGUCAAGAACACCGAUAGCGAAGGCAGCUUACUGGGCUGUAACUGACGCUGAUGCACGAAAGUGUGGGGAUCAAACAGG
This 253-nucleotide ribosomal RNA is filed under the name uncultured bacterium. RNAcentral describes it as "partial 16S ribosomal RNA". It matches the Rfam family "Bacterial small subunit ribosomal RNA", at positions 524 to 776 of the family's 1533-position model. The record is from RNAcentral.